Molecule: transfer-messenger RNA, 368 nt
Filed under: Deltaproteobacteria bacterium
Lineage: Bacteria; Pseudomonadati; Myxococcota; Myxococcia
Rfam family: transfer-messenger RNA
About the family: Bacterial tmRNA, also known as 10Sa RNA or SsrA, is named for its dual tRNA and mRNA-like properties. Its role is to liberate the mRNA from a stalled ribosome.
Source: RNAcentral
AUUGGUCUCGACGGAGAUUCGGAGGUGCUUGUGGCAGGCCAGGGAGUCUAGACCCUGUCAAAACCAGGCAAAACCACAAUUGCCAACAGCAAUGUGAUCCACGUGGACUUCGCUCGCAAGAGCGUUGCUCCCGUCGCCUUAGCGGCCUAAUCCGCUUAGCUAAGCCGUCCUCCCCGUUUCGCCCAAGGGCGGGGGCAGGGCGUCAUUUUUGGGCUAGCGAGCGCCGGUGCUUGAGACGGCGUAAGCGAAACAAAUCUUGAGCUGGUCCAGGGACGAUCCUGUCGGCGGGGUUGAACUGGAUAAGAUUAAAAACACCGAAUAAGCCUGUAGAAGCAUGUAUCGAAGAUCUUCGGACGCGGGUUCGAUUC